AGAGUUUGAUCCUGGCUCAGGAUGAACGCUGGCGGCGUGCCUAAUACAUGCAAGUCGAACGAAGAUCUAGCUUGCUAGAUCUUAGUGGCGAACGGGUGAGUAAUACAUAAAUAAUCUGCCCAUAUGACUGGGAUAACUAUUGGAAACGAUAGCUAAUACCGGAUAGGUUAAUCGGAGGCAUCUCUGAUGAAUUAAAGUAGGAUUUCUACACAAAUGGAUGAGUUUAUGGCGCAUUAGUUAGUUGGUGGGGUAACGGCCUACCAAGACGAUGAUGCGUAGCCGACCUGAGAGGGUGACCGGCCACACUGGGACUGAGACACGGCCCAGACUCCUACGGGAGGCAGCAGUAGGGAAUUUUCGGCAAUGGGCGCAAGCCUGACCGAGCAACGCCGCGUGAGUGAUUAAGGCCUUCGGGUUGUAAAGCUCUGUUGUAAGGGAAGAACAUUCAGGAUAGGAAAUGAUCUUGAACUGACGGUACCUUACCAGAAAGCCACGGCUAACUACGUGCCAGCAGCCGCGGUAAUACGUAGGUGGCAAGCGUUAUCCGGAAUUAUUGGGCGUAAAGGGUGCGUAGGCGGUUUAUUAAGUCUAUGGUGAAAGUGCGGGGCUCAACCCCGUAUGGCCAUAGAAACUGGUAGACUUGAGUGCAGGAGAGGGCAAUGGAAUUCCAUGUGUAGCGGUAAAAUGCGUAGAUAUAUGGAGGAACACCAGUGGCGAAGGCGGUUGCCUGGCCUGUAACUGACGCUGAAGCACGAAAGCGUGGGGAGCAAAUAGGAUUAGAUACCCUAGUAGUCCACGCC
Molecule: ribosomal RNA, 800 nt
Filed under: uncultured bacterium
Lineage: Bacteria
Description: bacterial SSU rRNA
Rfam family: Bacterial small subunit ribosomal RNA
Source: RNAcentral